Molecule: ribosomal RNA, 38 nt
Filed under: Syngonanthus widgrenianus
Lineage: Eukaryota; Viridiplantae; Streptophyta; Magnoliopsida; Poales; Eriocaulaceae
Description: partial 26S ribosomal RNA
Source: RNAcentral
CCUCAGGUCAGGCGGGAGCACCCGCCGAAUUUAAGCAU